This 119-nucleotide ribosomal RNA is filed under the name Nicotiana attenuata. The record is from RNAcentral. Lineage: Eukaryota; Viridiplantae; Streptophyta; Magnoliopsida; Solanales; Solanaceae.
GGAUGCGAUCAUACCAGCACUAACGCACCGGAUCCCAUCAGAACUCCGAUGUUAAGCGGGCUUGGGCGAGAGUAGUACAAGGAUGGGUGACCCCCUGGGAAGUCCUCGUGUUGCAUCCC